AGGUUAAGCGACUAAGCGUACACGGUGGAUGCCCUGGCAGUCAGAGGCGAUGAAGGACGUGCUAAUCUGCGAUAAGCGUCGGUGAGGUGAUAUGAACCGUUAUAACCGGCGAUUUCCGAAUGGGGAAACCCAGUGUGUUUCGACACACUAUCAUUAACUGAAUCCAUAGGUUAAUGAGGCGAACCGGGGGAACUGAAACAUCUAAGUACCCCGAGGAAAAGAAAUCAACCGAGAUUCCCCCAGUAGCGGCGAGCGAACGGGGAGGAGCCCAGAGCCUGAAUCAGUGUGUGUGU
RNAcentral lists this ribosomal RNA (293 nucleotides) under Escherichia coli. RNAcentral describes it as "partial 23S ribosomal RNA". It matches the Rfam family "Bacterial large subunit ribosomal RNA", at positions 1 to 289 of the family's 2925-position model. The record is from RNAcentral. Lineage: Bacteria; Pseudomonadati; Pseudomonadota; Gammaproteobacteria; Enterobacterales; Enterobacteriaceae.